UGCCUUGUCUCUAGUAUUUUUGCUAUUUCGGUCUGGUUGGUGAUGUGUGAUGGUGUUUGUAUUUGUGUCUCUCGUUCGGGUGGUUUCUUGCUAUCCUCCAUGUUGGAUUGUUACUGGUUUAACAUCAGUAUGAGUUCUUUCUGAUCUUAUUGGUGCUUCCGAUGUUCACUGCUUCUUUGAGGAACCUUUGUAAGAGUUUCUGGUUCUUUUGCGCAAUUUUAGUGUUUAAAUUUUCAUUUUCGAUCUUUUUUUUAGAUAUUUGUCUUUUUGUUUUUAUUGUUGGUCUAAAUAGUUUUUCCGUUUGGUUGGAGCUUAGCUUCCCUCUUUUGGUCUUAGUUUCUGAAGACAUUUUGUUGGUCUGCCGGCGUUUGUAUUUCAAAUGGUAUUCUACCUUGAGUUCUUAAUAAAAUUCAGACGACAAAAAAAAUGAACUAAUCUGAAACAGUUUUAACAAAUCUCAAAUGAAAUUUUA
This 472-nucleotide small RNA is filed under the name Arabidopsis thaliana (thale cress). RNAcentral describes it as "ATSL062010". The record is from RNAcentral. Lineage: Eukaryota; Viridiplantae; Streptophyta; Magnoliopsida; Brassicales; Brassicaceae.